AAUUCGAUUACAAAACCCCUCUACGUGUAGAGGGCUGAUGGUACUCUGAGAAUAAGGGUCGGCUAACUUCGUGCCAGCAGCCGCGGUAAUACGAAGGACCCGAGCGUUAUCCGGAUUUAUUGGGUUUAAAGGGUGCGUAGGCGGAUUUACAAGUCAGUGGUGAAAUCUCCCAGCUUAACUGGGAAACUGCCAUUGAAACUAUUUAUCUUGAGUACAUUUGAGGCGGGCGGAAUGUAUCAUGUAGAGGUGAAAUUCUUAGAUAUGACACAGAACACCAAUUGCGAAGGCAGCUCGCUAAACUGUAACUGACGCUGAGGCACGAAAGUGUGGGUAGCAAACAGGAUUAGAUACCCUGGUAGUCCACACCCUAAACGAUGAUUACUCGAUGUGUGCGAUACACAGCACGCGUCUAAGCGAAAGCAUUAAGUAAUCCACCUGGGAAGUACGUCCGCAAGGAUGAAACUCAAAGGAAUUGACGGAAUCACUA
Molecule: ribosomal RNA, 487 nt
Filed under: uncultured bacterium
Lineage: Bacteria
Description: bacterial SSU rRNA
Rfam family: Bacterial small subunit ribosomal RNA
Source: RNAcentral